AUGACGUCAAGGCGUCAAAGGCAAAACAACAGAGAAAAGUGGUUUCAGCAGGUGUUUGCCCUUAAACCUUUGGUGAAUAAAUUAAUUUUCAUAACUGACUUUUAAUUAAGAAAGCUGCAUGUAGAGUUCAUUUUUUUUUUUGGGUUUUUGCUCCUGGUGAUUGCUCAUAAAUGUUGAAUUCAAAUUCUUGAAGUUGCUUUGUUAAAUUGGAGGUUUUUUUGGUUUUUUGGACUUGCAGCCUAACCAGAGGUGGUGGAUGAAUAAUGUUCUUUUAAGUGGUACAUACUGUCAUUCACCUUAUCAGUACUAAAGAUUUGGGUUUACUUAUUAGUUUAAUCAAGGGGAUUUAGAAAAAAAGAUUCAUACUAACUCUAAGAAAGCAGAAAAGGACCAGAGACAACCUGUAAUUUUUUAGCGAUUUGUAUUUCAUGAACUUUUAUAUUAUUCAUUUAGGUUGUGUGAUUAAGAAAAGUUUUUUAUAUCUAUUUAGGUUGUACCAUUUUGAGCUCUGAAGGAUAGUGUAUUAAUGAAUGUUAAGGAUAGUGUAUUCAUGAAUGUUACCAUUAAAAGCAUAACUGUUGUUGCAUAUACCAAAAUUGGUUUACAUUUUCAUGUUAAAGUUUGCUAAUGAUUAAAACUUUUAUGUGUUCCUUUUUCUAAUUUGGGGACAAUCUCCAUUAUCCAAGCAAAGCGUCCGAUCUAAUGGCGAUGAAGUAAGAAACAAAAGAAGAAAUUUUGUCAUCAUCAAGUUUAUGAACAAAAGGGAAAUGUGUGCAAGAGCUAAGGACGGUUGUUAUCUACUAGCUUUCCUAAUACAUGUGUUUCUUUUUUUUCUUUUUAUGUUGUAUAACAGUAGUACUAUAGAAAUUGUCUUAUAUAUGAGACUGAAAAACAUGAUAUAUUCACG
This 907-nucleotide long non-coding RNA is filed under the name Helianthus annuus (common sunflower). Lineage: Eukaryota; Viridiplantae; Streptophyta; Magnoliopsida; Asterales; Asteraceae. The record is from RNAcentral.